GGAACGGUCUGCAUCAGAGCUUGUGGAUCAGGCAGAACUGUCUGUUGUGGUUCCGGAGGCUGAAGUGGAAACAACCGCCGCUGCCCCUGUGGUUGUGGUAACUUUCUUUCUUAUUUGUCCACACUCUCCUGCAUUUCUGCCUUGUUCUUUAUUUUUAACUGUUGUAGCCUUUUCAGGUAGAAGUGCCUAAAGCUGUUGGCGUCCU
This 205-nucleotide long non-coding RNA is filed under the name Prunus persica (peach). RNAcentral describes it as "long non-coding RNA (PPER_LNC006247)". Lineage: Eukaryota; Viridiplantae; Streptophyta; Magnoliopsida; Rosales; Rosaceae. The record is from RNAcentral.